Astyanax mexicanus (Mexican tetra) is the source of this 1110-nucleotide long non-coding RNA. RefSeq lists it as uncharacterized. The transcript is spliced from 6 exons. NCBI's taxonomy places the organism in Eukaryota, Metazoa, Chordata, Actinopteri, Characiformes, Acestrorhamphidae. The record is from RefSeq and is a predicted model, not a curated record.
CUGAUAGCAGACUACUCCGAUCCGGAUCCGUUUUACCUCCGGCAGAUCCGCGCUACAGUCAGGUCUGUUUAGUGGAUCUGGUCCGGCUUCACUCCGGGUUCGGGUUAUGAUUGUGACUCACGUUCAGAUCCGUUUUACUGACGGUAAAUCCGCAUAACAGUCCGUCUCAUUUCACGCCUUCCAUAUGACUUCGGCACGGAGUCAGAUACCAGAUGUGAGUUCAGUGUCAGUUCAGUGUCGUUUUGCGGAUCCGGGCCGCAUCGGCGGAGCGGCACAGGAGCGGGAGAAAUUCAAACUCAGCGCGAGGACCAACUGACAUCUGCUGAAUCUGCGCUUCAGGGCUGCUGAGGGCUGGGGACCUGCCAGAUAAGGUGUAAUCAUUUACCCAUCAAAUCACCUAACAAGGAUGAGCCUGGAUCCUAACAGUACUUGAUGCACUGAGCAGUGACAUUAUACAUAGAGUAGUUAAGCAGGAUUUGGUAUCCGCAAAAUGGUUCGAGGUCCUCAGCCCUCGCCUCCCCCAGCACAGAGGAAAACUACCAAGGGCGGUACUCUCAUUAUAGGAGAUUCAAUUGUUAGACAUUUAAAAGUAUCUAAGAGUAAUGGCACAAUUUCAUGUCUUCCAGAUGCUUGCAUGCUGGUAGUCGGCAAGCGGCUCCCUGGGGCGCAUUGCCAAAGCAGGAACCCCGGCACCAUCGCCCUCCACGUGGGGAUGAGCUUUCGGGAGCGACCGGCCCCGUUCCACAGAGACAGGCUUCUCUCUGUGAACAUCGAGGCGGUGCUACGCUGAGACUGACUGUCUCUACCCAGUCACACCAGCCAAGUAGGCUGCACUGUAGUGGUGUUAAGUGUCCAAGAAUGCUCUCAUCAGUGGAGGCACAGCUGGCUGCAAAAAACGUCUGUGUCUGCAUGUUUAUAUUAUGUGAAUUAAAAAUGGUUUUAUUAUUAAAAUAAUUGUAUUAAUGCCUGUUGAUUUAUAAAUUGUUUAAUUGAAAUCAAAUUUUAUUUAAGUAGCUUAAUUAAGUAUUGCAUUUAUAACUGAUGGUAUUUUAUUUAAUUAGCUUAAGUAUUGCAUUUAUAAGUGAUGGUAUUUUAUUUUAAUUAGCUUAA